AACGAACGCUGGCGGCAUGCCUAACACAUGCAAGUCGAACGAGACCUUCGGGUCUAGUGGCGCACGGGUGCGUAACGCGUGGGAACCUGCCCUUAGGUUUGGAAUAACUCCCCGAAAGGGGUGCUAAUACCGGAUAAUGUCUUCGGACCAAAGAUUUAUCGCCUUUGGAUGGGCCUGCGUUGGAUUAGCUAGUUGGUAGGGUAAAAGCCUACCAAGGCGACGAUCCAUAGCUGGUCUGAGAGGAUGAUCAGCCACACUGGGACUGAGACACGGCCCAGACUCCUACGGGAGGCAGCAAUGGGUAAUAUUGGACAAUGGGCGAAGGCCUGAUCCAGCAAUGCCGCGUGAGUGAUGAAGGCCUUAGGGUUGUAAAGCUCUUUUACCCGGGAUGAUAAUGACAGUACCGGGAGAAUAAGCUCCGGCUAACUCCGUG
RNAcentral lists this ribosomal RNA (433 nucleotides) under uncultured bacterium. RNAcentral describes it as "partial 16S ribosomal RNA". It matches the Rfam family "Bacterial small subunit ribosomal RNA", at positions 29 to 507 of the family's 1533-position model. The record is from RNAcentral.